Molecule: transfer RNA, 65 nt
Filed under: Ruditapes variegatus
Lineage: Eukaryota; Metazoa; Mollusca; Bivalvia; Venerida; Veneridae
Also listed under: 1 other name
Description: tRNA-Arg
Source: RNAcentral
GAGUAAAUGGCGUAAGAUAGAGCGUGUAUGGUUUCGGGUCAUAAGGUGCAGGUUUGUUUUACUUU